This 102-nucleotide microRNA precursor is filed under the name Oikopleura dioica. RNAcentral's name for it is "microRNA odi-mir-1501 precursor". Lineage: Eukaryota; Metazoa; Chordata; Appendicularia; Copelata; Oikopleuridae. The record is from miRBase by way of RNAcentral.
UGACGAUUCCGCGACCAGCUGAGUCUUUGAGAGUAGAGCAUGGAUCGAGCGGACGUUCUGCUUUCUAUGCUGUACUGCAAAGGCUCCGGUGGGAUAGCGCGG